Rhododendron vialii is the source of this 91-nucleotide small nucleolar RNA. RefSeq annotates it as small nucleolar RNA snoR27. The record is from RefSeq and is a predicted model, not a curated record. The transcript has a single exon. Lineage: Eukaryota; Viridiplantae; Streptophyta; Magnoliopsida; Ericales; Ericaceae.
ACAGGAUCAAUGAUGUAAUGACUAAACUGCGUUAUCUUUCUGUAAUUCCUUUAGCGGGAUUGAAGAUGCUAACAUUAUUCUGAGAUCUAUU